Brassica oleracea var. oleracea is the source of this 1584-nucleotide long non-coding RNA. RefSeq lists it as uncharacterized. Lineage: Eukaryota; Viridiplantae; Streptophyta; Magnoliopsida; Brassicales; Brassicaceae. The transcript is spliced from 3 exons. The record is from RefSeq and is a predicted model, not a curated record.
UCUUUUUGUCUCAUUGUCAUCCCUUUAAUUACAAGUUUUUAUGUCUUCCUCUUCACUUCUAUUCACAGAUUCAUUAAACCGACGAUAAAGUUUUGAGUCUUUGACCUUCACUAAUCUUUCUCUCACACUCUCAUAAUUCGAUCAGCCACGAUGGUCUGUGGAAGGGACGCUUCGGAGAUGGAAUAGGAGGUUGCCCAAGCUGCAAAGAAGACGGGACGCCUUGCCGAAACACAUGGCAGCACUAAGGAGGAUACGAAAAAAUUUGCCGACAAACGUUUAAGAAUGUUCUCGAACAACAUCUUUAAAACUCUUUUCAAUGUUACCUGUCAACCUCAGUGACUGAUUCGCUAUUUAGUGACAUGAUUCACAAUCACCGGGAAGAGAAUUGCUGGUGAAACAAAAAAAACUUCAAGCUUUAACCAGUCUCUGAUUUUGUUAGGGAUCAAACCUGUGAGUUUCACAGAUGUUAAGAGUGAAGUAAUAAACUUUAGCUUCUGGGGAUGAAUUUUCAGUAACAGAGCUUGAAAUUCCAUGACAUGUAGUUGUAUCUCCGAGAAUUGGCUCGCAUUGCAUCAUUGUCAAGGAUUUGUCUCUACGAUGUUCCUGAAAGGUAAAGCCUCUCUGGAGAUGUUUACCUGAGGUUUCCAUGAGAGGAGAGCCUGACCUUCUUUUUUUAUAUGGAGAAACAUGGGAUGGAAACAAAGCAGAGGAGUUUAGGAAAGGAGGAAGAAGAAAGAACCAAAAAAUGUGUGUUAUGUGGGUAUCUUCCUAUGAGUCAUGAGUCUCUUACACAUGUUUUUUAAAUGAAAUUGUGAAUUGGUCAUAUUCAGUCUUCUCAUUGUUGUUAAGGUUAUAUGUAUCAGGUCUGCAAUUCAUGUUAUCUAAUAUAUGAUGAAAUUGGUAUUAAAACUGCAAAGUUUUACAUGCAAUUUGUUUAACCGCACAUGUGUUAAUAUCCUCUCAAGUCGAAGCUUCUAGCUGUUAGUUCAACUUCAAGUGUUACAUUAUCUUUUCCACUAGCAACGUUCUUUGGCACCAGUGAGACUUGGGAAGAGAUAAUGUGCCGUGUUUGGGAAUAUAUAUAUAAAAUAAACUCAACAAUAUAGAGGUGUAUAUUGAGAUACUCUGGUUUUACUUUAUUUUCUGGGAUUGGAUUUGACAUUUUUUGUAUGUUUAGAGGUUUUUGAAUGGCUAUAAACAAAAAAAAAAAAACUAAACACCUUUGUUCUACUUCUCAAUAUGAUUACAGGACCCGACAAAUCCAAUGGCUAUUCAGUGUGAUGAGAAGCACCGUCAUCCUCUUGGGUGUGAAAGCAUUCAGCUGUGGGGAUAAAUGAGAUGCUAAUGCGCCAAAUGUACAAGCAGUCAUGUGAUCAAUAAUUAUUUUAAAGUCAUUUAUCCAACUCUCUCAGAUUAUGAUGUUCGAUAUUAUUAUCUCUCAACUUCUAAAGGUAAGCGACCAGUUUCUUUUUGAAUCCUAGACUGCGCAUUCUCCAGGUUUGUAUUACUCUCCUUCAUAUAUAAUAUUUUAUUGCUAGGGGAGGUCUCUAAACAUGAUCGUACAUGUUACUGAUUUAGUAAAUA